RNAcentral lists this small RNA (116 nucleotides) under bovine gut metagenome. RNAcentral describes it as "Ribosomal protein L10 leader". It matches the Rfam family "Ribosomal protein L10 leader". Rfam says of the family: This family is a putative r-protein leader autoregulatory structure found in B. subtilis and other low-GC Gram-positive bacteria. It is located in the 5' untranslated regions of mRNAs encoding ribosomal proteins L10 and L12 (rplJ-rplL). The record is from RNAcentral.
AAAAAGUUUGAAUGCCGAAGACAGUAAGUGCUUUAAAGCUCAAUUUCUUACCGAGGGAUGAAUUCUUAAAUAUAAAAUUUAAGUCUUUAUGCCUCGCAUGAAGACUUUUUUGAUAU